RNAcentral lists this long non-coding RNA (362 nucleotides) under Coffea arabica (coffee). RNAcentral describes it as "long non-coding RNA (CARA_LNC008087)". The record is from RNAcentral. Lineage: Eukaryota; Viridiplantae; Streptophyta; Magnoliopsida; Gentianales; Rubiaceae.
CUACAAAUGCAAAAUUAUAAUCACAUAAUAGUCAUUUCCAAGUUAAAUGAGAAAAGAAGUUUCCAAAUCAUAUAUAUUUAUCUCAAAUGUAGAAGGAAUUUGAACUACUAAUGGUAUGGAACUUGUUACCCCUUGGAUAAAAUCGAAAAAAUAUGAAACUUUUUGGGGCAAGUUUACAAUUUUGGACAAGAUUUUAGAAAAAUUUUGAAUUUUAACACAAGUCCAAUAUUUGCAACUAAUAAUUCAAUCACAUACAAUGUAUAUAAUCUCAAUUCUCCCCCCACACUUAACAUACACAUUGUCCUCAAUGUGUAAAAAGGAAAAUCAAGAUAAAGAAAAGUAAUACUCCCCUAUUGUUGCGA